UUACAAGUGAAAGGGUGGGGAAAUUGUAAGGGAAUGAAACAGUUUCCCAGACCCUUUUAAGUCACAUCAGAUGAAAGAAUUGUUCACUAUAUCUUUUCAUAAGGAAGGUACUGCUGGGAACCAAAAGUGCCAAAAAUAGUGAUCAGAGCUCAGCACCUUGUGAAAUAAUGUAAAGGGAACAGAGAAGAAGAAGAAGGAACAACUAAUUAGAGCAAGCAGGCUUGUGCUGCCUGGGAAAAGAAACAAAUGCAUAAGUAAAAACAAUUCUGCAGAUGAUAAAGGUAUUUCCAUGCAAAGCAACAGAUUCUCAGUUUUAGACUU
This 321-nucleotide long non-coding RNA is filed under the name Bos taurus (domestic cattle). RNAcentral describes it as "long non-coding RNA NONBTAT001266". The record is from RNAcentral. Lineage: Eukaryota; Metazoa; Chordata; Mammalia; Artiodactyla; Bovidae.